RNAcentral lists this ribosomal RNA (1524 nucleotides) under uncultured bacterium. Its description in RNAcentral is "partial 16S ribosomal RNA". It matches the Rfam family "Bacterial small subunit ribosomal RNA". The record is from RNAcentral.
UGAGUUUGAUCCUGGCUCAGAUUGAACGCUGGCGGCAUGCCUUACACAUGCAAGUCGAACGGCAGCGCGGGGCAACCUGGCGGCGAGUGGCGAACGGGUGAGUAAUAUAUCGGAACGUACCCAAGAGUGGGGGAUAACGUAGCGAAAGUUACGCUAAUACCGCAUACGAUCUAAGGAUGAAAGUGGGGGCUCGCAAGACCUCAUGCUCGUGGAGCGGCCGAUAUCUGAUUAGCUAGUUGGUAGGGUAAAAGCCUACCAAGGCAUCGAUCAGUAGCUGGUCUGAGAGGACGACCAGCCACACUGGGACUGAGACACGGUCCAGACUCCUACGGGAGGCAGCAGUGGGGAAUUUUGGACAAUGGGCGCAAGCCUGAUCCAGCAAUGCCGCGUGAGUGAAGGAGGCCUUCGGGUUGUAAAGCUCUUUUGUCAGGGAAGAAACGGUGGGAGCUAAUAUCUCCUACUAAUGACGGUACCUGAAGAAUAAGCACCGGCUAACUACGUGCCAGCAGCCGCGGUAAUACGUAGGGUGCGAGCGUUAAUCGGAAUUACUGGGCGUAAAGCGUGCGCAGGCGGUUAUGUAAGACAGUUGUGAAAUCCCCGGGCUCAACCUGGGAAUUGCAUCUGCGACUGCAUAGCUAGAGUACGGUAGAGGGGGAUGGAAUUCCGCGUGUAGCAGUGAAAUGCGUAGAUAUGCGGAGGAACACCGAUGGCGAAGGCAAUCCCCUGGACCUGUACUGACGCUCAUGCACGAAAGCGUGGGGAGCAAACAGGAUUAGAUACCCUGGUAGUCCACGCCCUAAACGAUGUCAACUGGUUGUUGGGUGCAUUAGUACUCAGUAACGAAGCUAACGCGUGAAGUUGACCGCCUGGGGAGUACGGCCGCAAGGUUGAAACUCAAAGGAAUUGACGGGGACCCGCACAAGCGGUGGAUGAUGUGGUUUAAUUCGAUGCAACGCGAAAAACCUUACCUACCUUUGACAUGUACGGAACUCGCCAGAGAUGGCUUGGUGCUCGAAAGAGAACCGUAACGCAGGUGCUGCAUGGCUGUCGUCAGCUCGUGUCGUGAGAUGUUGGGUUAAGUCCCGCAACGAGCGCAACCCUUGUCAUUAGUUGCUACGAAAGAGCACUCUAAUGAGACUGCCGGUGACAAACCGGAGGAAGGUGGGGAUGACGUCAAGUCCUCAUGGCCCUUAUGGGUAGGGCUUCACACGUCAUACAAUGGUACAUACAGAGGGCCGCCAACCCGCGAGGGGGAGCUAAUCCCAGAAAGUGUAUCGUAGUCCGGAUCGCAGUCUGCAACUCGACUGCGUGAAGUCGGAAUCGCUAGUAAUCGUGGAUCAGAAUGUCACGGUGAAUACGUUCCCGGGUCUUGUACACACCGCCCGUCACACCAUGGGAGCGGGUUCUGCCAGAAGUAGUUAGCCUAACCGUAAGGAGGGCGAUUACCACGGCAGGGUUCGUGACUGGGGUGAAGUCGUAACAAGGUAGCCGUAUCGGAAGGUGCGGCUGGAUCACCUCCUUUCU